Molecule: long non-coding RNA, 223 nt
Organism: Dipodomys ordii (Ord's kangaroo rat)
Lineage: Eukaryota; Metazoa; Chordata; Mammalia; Rodentia; Heteromyidae
Exons: 3
Source: RefSeq, a predicted model, not a curated record
GCCAGGUUGUAAUAGGCUGCUGCUGGCCGGACCGGGUUGGUGCCCGGAGAGGAUUGUCUGGGAACGAGCGUGGGGUGCUAGUGUUGUACUUAACGUUUCCAACUCCUGAAGUGGAAAUGUGUGAGUUCCUGCUUGAAGUUGUUGAUCUUCCCAUUUUGAAUAGCUACUGUUGGGAUGACUGUCCACAUUUGAAGCUGGAAAUGGAGCCGUGGUUCAAGUGGAA